UUUUAGCCCCGAUAGUAGUGGAAAUCCUUUUACUUUUUUCUUUAAAAAGGAAAAGAUUGCAACGGAUAGCGGGAUUAGCU
This 80-nucleotide small RNA is filed under the name Flavobacterium defluvii. Its description in RNAcentral is "Flavo-1 RNA". It matches the Rfam family "Flavo-1 RNA". The record is from RNAcentral. Lineage: Bacteria; Pseudomonadati; Bacteroidota; Flavobacteriia; Flavobacteriales; Flavobacteriaceae.